This 28-nucleotide small RNA is filed under the name Bombyx mori (domestic silkworm). RNAcentral's name for it is "ovarian small RNA-27271". Lineage: Eukaryota; Metazoa; Arthropoda; Insecta; Lepidoptera; Bombycidae. The record is from RNAcentral.
UCCCGAAGCAUCCAUGCCCUGUCAGUAA